Molecule: unclassified non-coding RNA, 265 nt
Filed under: rhizosphere metagenome
Description: partial ribosomal RNA internal transcribed spacer region
Source: RNAcentral
GAAUAAACUUGGUUGGGUUGUUGCUGGCUCUUCGGAGCAUGUGCACGCCUAGCACCAUUUUUUACCACCUGUGCACCCUUUGUAGACCUGGAAUAUCUUUCUCGAGGAAACUCGGUUUGAGGGAUGCUGGUGCGAAAGCCCGGCUUCCUUCGCAUUUCUGGUCUAUGUCUUUAAUAUACUCCAUAAGAAUGUAACAGAAUGUCAUUAACUGGCCUUUGUGCCUUUAAAAUGAAAUACAACUUUCAACAACGGAUCUCUUGGCUCU